RNAcentral lists this ribosomal RNA (459 nucleotides) under Staphylococcus aureus. Its description in RNAcentral is "partial 23S ribosomal RNA". It matches the Rfam family "Bacterial large subunit ribosomal RNA", at positions 1290 to 1745 of the family's 2925-position model. The record is from RNAcentral. Lineage: Bacteria; Bacillati; Bacillota; Bacilli; Caryophanales; Staphylococcaceae.
GAGAAUGCCGGUGUGAGUAGCGAAAGACGGGUGAGAAUCCCGUCCACCGAUUGACUAAGGUUUCCAGAGGAAGGCUCGUCCGCUCUGGGUUAGUCGGGUCCUAAGCUGAGGCCGACAGGCGUAGGCGAUGGAUAACAGGUUGAUAUUCCUGUACCACCUAUAAUCGUUUUAAUCGAUGGGGGGACGCAGUAGGAUAGGCGAAGCGUGCGAUUGGAUUGCACGUCUAAGCAGUAAGGCUGAGUAUUAGGCAAAUCCGGUACUCGUUAAGGCUGAGCUGUGAUGGGGAGAAGACAUUGUGUCUUCGAGUCGUUGAUUUCACACUGCCGAGAAAAGCCUCUAGAUAGAAAAUAGGUGCCCGUACCGCAAACCGACACAGGUAGUCAAGAUGAGAAUUCUAAGGUGAGCGAGCGAACUCUCGUUAAGGAACUCGGCAAAAUGACCCCGUAACUUCGGGAGAAG